UGGGGAAUAUUGCACAAUGGGCGCAAGCCUGAUGCAGCCAUGCCGCGUGUGUGAAGAAGGCCUUCGGGUUGUAAAGCACUUUCAGCGAGGAGGAAGGGUAGUGUGUUAAUAGCACAUUGCAUUGACGUUACUCGCAGAAGAAGCACCGGCUAACUCCGUGCCAGCAGCCGCGGUAAUACGGAGGGUGCAAGCGUUAAUCGGAAUUACUGGGCGUAAAGCGCACGCAGGCGGUUUGUUAAGUCAGAUGUGAAAUCCCCGCGCUUAACGUGGGAACUGCAUUUGAAACUGGCAAGCUAGAGUCUUGUAGAGGGGGGUAGAAUUCCCAGGUGUAGCGGUGAAAUGCGUAGAGAUCUGGAGGAAUACCGGUGGCGAAGGCGGCCCCCUGGACAAAGACUGACGCUCAGGUGCGAAAGCGUGGGGAGCAAAACAGGGAUUAGAUACCCU
Molecule: ribosomal RNA, 444 nt
Filed under: uncultured bacterium
Lineage: Bacteria
Description: partial 16S ribosomal RNA
Rfam family: Bacterial small subunit ribosomal RNA
Source: RNAcentral